GAGUGAACGCUGGCGGUAGGCCUAACACAAGCAAGUCGAACGGCAGCACAGUAAGAGCUUGCUCUUACGGGUGGCGAGUGGCGGACGGGUGAGGAAUACAUCGGAAUCUACUUUUUCGUGGGGGAUAACGUAGGGAAACUUACGCUAAUACCGCAUACGACCUACGGGUGAAAGCAGGGGAUCUUCGGACCUUGCGCGAUUGAAUGAGCCGAUGUCGGAUUAGCUAGUUGGCGGGGUAAAGGCCCACCAAGGCGACGAUCCGUAGCUGGUCUGAGAGGAUGAUCAGCCACACUGGAACUGAGACACGGUCCAGACUCCUACGGGAGGCAGCAGUGGGGAAUAUUGGACAAUGGGCGCAAGCCUGAUCCAGCCAUACCGCGUGGGUGAAGAAGGCCUUCGGGUUGUAAAGCCCUUUUGUUGGGAAAGAAAAGCAGCAGGUUAAUACCCCGCUGUUCUGACGGUACCCAAAGAAUAAGCACCGGCUAACUUCGUG
This 493-nucleotide ribosomal RNA is filed under the name uncultured bacterium. Its description in RNAcentral is "partial 16S ribosomal RNA". It matches the Rfam family "Bacterial small subunit ribosomal RNA", at positions 27 to 507 of the family's 1533-position model. The record is from RNAcentral.